AGCAGCCGCGGUAAUUCCAGCUCCAAUAGCGUAUAUUAAAGUUGUUGCAGUUAAAAAGCUCGUAGUUGAAUUUCGGAGUUUGUCGGUUGGUCGGGCUUCACUGUCCGCACUGGCCUGAUGGAUUCCUACCUUCUGAAUAACUAGCAUGCUAUUAAUUUAGUGCGUUGGGGAAGCAGAGCUAUUACCUUGAAAAAUUAGAGUGCUUAAAGCAGGCUUACGCUUGAAUAGAUUAGCAUGGAAUAAUAAAAUAGGACGGCUUGGUUCUAUUUUGUUGGUUUCUAGGAUCACCGUAAUGAUUAAUAGGGAUAGUUGGGGGCAUUAGUAUUCAAUUGUCAGAGGUGAAAUUCUUGGAUUUAUUGAAGACUAACUUCUGCGAAAGCAUUUGCCAAGGAUGUUUUCAUUAAUCAAGAACGAAAGUUAGGGGAUCGAAGACGAUCAGAUACCGUCGUAGUCUUAACCAUAAACUAUGCCGACUAGGGAUCGGACGAUGUUAAUUUUUAAUGACUCGUUCGGCGCCUUA
RNAcentral lists this ribosomal RNA (520 nucleotides) under uncultured Glomeromycotina. RNAcentral describes it as "SSU rRNA". It matches the Rfam family "Eukaryotic small subunit ribosomal RNA", at positions 569 to 1090 of the family's 1831-position model. Lineage: Eukaryota; Fungi; Glomeromycota. The record is from RNAcentral.